AUUGAACGCUGGCGGCAUGCCUUACACAUGCAAGUCGAACGGCAGCACGGACUUCGGUCUGGUGGCGAGUGGCGAACGGGUGAGUAAUGCAUCGGAACGUGCCAUUGAGUGGGGGAUAACGUAGCGAAAGUUGCGCUAAUACCGCAUAUUCUGUGAGCAGGAAAGCAGGGGACCGCAAGGCCUUGCGCUCUUUGAGCGGCCGAUGUCAGAUUAGCUAGUUGGUGAGGUAAAGGCUUACCAAGGCGACGAUCUGUAGCGGGUCUGAGAGGAUGAUCCGCCACACUGGAACUGAGACACGGUCCAGACUCCUACGGGAGGCAGCAGUGGGGAAUUUUGGACAAUGGGGGCAACCCUGGAUCCAGCCAUGCCGCGUGAGUGAAGAAGGCCUCGG
This 391-nucleotide ribosomal RNA is filed under the name uncultured bacterium. RNAcentral's name for it is "bacterial SSU rRNA". It matches the Rfam family "Bacterial small subunit ribosomal RNA", at positions 30 to 420 of the family's 1533-position model. The record is from RNAcentral.